This 414-nucleotide ribosomal RNA is filed under the name Siamoconus coleus. RNAcentral's name for it is "Euconulidae sp. c AP-2023 partial large subunit ribosomal RNA". The record is from RNAcentral. Lineage: Eukaryota; Metazoa; Mollusca; Gastropoda; Stylommatophora; Euconulidae.
CGUUUUAUGUAAUUAAUAUAAAAUUAAAUCUGCCCAGUGAAAUUUUAACGGCCGCAGUACUUUGACUGUGCUAAGGUAGCAUAAUAAAUUGGCUUUUAAUUGAAGUCUUGUAUGAAAGAAUUCAUGGAUAAUUUCUGUCUUUAUAUAAGUUUUUAAAAUUUACUUUUAAGGUGAAAAUACCUUUAAAUAUUUAAUAGACGAGAAGACCCUAGGAGUUAUUGUUUUUGUUGGGGCGACAUUUCUUCAUUUAACAUGAAUAAUUUAUUUUUAUUAUUAAACGAUUAUUAUAAUUUUAAUUUAACUACCCUAGGGAUAACAGCAUAAUUUAUUUUUAAGUUUAUGACCUCGAUGUUGGAUUAGGAAAGUUUAAGGUUAAUAAUUUUAAUUCUAUGUUCUGUUCGAACAAAAAUUCCU